Long non-coding RNA from Cyprinus carpio (common carp), 607 nucleotides. RefSeq lists it as uncharacterized. The record is from RefSeq and is a predicted model, not a curated record. NCBI's taxonomy places the organism in Eukaryota, Metazoa, Chordata, Actinopteri, Cypriniformes, Cyprinidae.
CCUAUCCUACUACGGAGAAGUCUUGGUUGUUAAUAUUCAGAAGGAAGCGCUUUGGCAUUGGGUGAUUGCAAGAAACGUCAUGACGUUCCAAUUAAUAUACAUGAGGGAAGGCUUCUUCAUAGAAGCAACGUCAGCGCAAUGUAAUUAACGUUCAAUCACUCAGCUGAAACUUUAGGAAUAAUGAGCAGAGCAGUCAAAUUUCUUUAAAUCUGUGUACUAUAUAAGCUGCAUUGAAGGGCUCAAUUUACAAUGAGGUCCAAAAAUCUCUUCUAUUUUGCAUUUACAAAAUAAAUUACAUUAUCUAUGUUAUCCAGCAUGAGUUGAGUACUUCAACUGUACUUCAGCUGAAGCGAGUAUGGCCUUUUAUACAAAAGAGUUCACAAGCCAAAGUCACCAGAAGCACAGACUUCAUCAAGAACAGGAACUUUAGUCAAUUGCUUGUCUGGAAGAAGCUCUAUUGAAAGUGGAUUAGAGGUCCAGCUCAGUUCCAAAUCUUCAAGAAGCUGUCCCAUGAGCCAGUGCAAACACACAUGCCAUCUGGUGGUACUCCGGUGCAGCUCACCCUGUUGUCAUGGCCAGACAACACACCUACAGGAGAGAAAGGAAG